GGCAGUGGUGGCUUAGUGGUUAAGGCUCUGGGUUACUGAUCAGGAGGUCAGGGUUCACACCUCAGCACUGCCA
Molecule: non-coding RNA, 73 nt
Organism: Ameiurus melas (black bullhead)
Lineage: Eukaryota; Metazoa; Chordata; Actinopteri; Siluriformes; Ictaluridae
Source: the annotation of a GenBank genome assembly